RNAcentral lists this long non-coding RNA (2199 nucleotides) under Salmo salar (Atlantic salmon). Its description in RNAcentral is "lncRNA (ENSSSAG00000091261.1)". Lineage: Eukaryota; Metazoa; Chordata; Actinopteri; Salmoniformes; Salmonidae. The record is from RNAcentral.
GUCCAGCUCUACUCUCAAACUUCAGACUACAUACAUACUGGCAGACAACAAGCUCCAUACUAUACAGGAAGACUACAUACAUCCUCGCAGACAACAAGCUCCAUACUAUACAGGAAGAUUACAUACUGGCAGACAACAAGCUUCAUACUAUACAGAAAGACUACAGACAUACUGGCAGACAACAAGCUCCAUACUAUACAGGAAGACUACAUACGUACUGGCUGACAACAAGCUUCAUACUAUACAGGAAGACUACAGACAUACUGGCAGACAACAAGCUCCAUACUAUACAGGAAGACUACAUACUGGCAGACAACAGGCUACAUACUAUACAGGAAGAUUACAUACUGGCAGACAACAAGCUCCAUACUAUACAGGAAGACUACAUACAUACUGGCAGACAACAAGCUCCAUACUAUACUGGCAGACUACAGGCUACAUACUAUACUGGCAGACUACAGACGACGUACUAUACUGGCAGACUACAGACGACAUACUAUACUGGCAGACUACAUACUAUAUUGGCAGACUACAGAUGACAUACAAUACUGGCAGACUACAUACUAUACUGGCAGACUACAGGCUACAUACUAUACUGGCAGACUACUGACGACAUUCUAUACUGGCAGACUACAGGCUACAUACUAUACUGGCAGACUACAGACGACAUACUAUACUGGCAGACUACAGACGACAUACUAUACUGGCAGACUACAGACGACAUACUAUAUUGGCAGACUACAGACGACAUACUAUAUUGGCAGACUACAGACGACAUACUAUACUGGCAGACUACAGACGACAUACUAUACUGGCAGACUACAGGCUACAUACUAUACUGGCAGACUACUGACGACAUUCUAUACGGGCAGACUACAGGCUACAUACUAUACUGGCAGACUACAUACUAUACUGGCAGACUACAGGCUUCAUACUAUACUGGCAGACUACAGACUAUACUGGCAGACUACAGGCUACAUACUAUACUGGCAGACGACAUACUAUACUGGCAGACUACAGACGACAAUCUAUACUGGCAGACUACAGGUUACAUACUUACUGGCAGACUACAUACUAUACUGGCAGACUACAGGCUUCAUACUAUACUGUCAGACUACAGGCUACAUACUAUAUUGGCAGACUAUAUACUGUACUGGCAGACUACAGACUAUACUGGCAGACUGCAGGCUACAUACUAUACUGGCAGACUACAAGCUACAUAAUAUACUGGCAGACUAUAUACUAUACUGGCAGACUACAGACUAUACUGGCAGACUAUAUACUAUACUGGCAGACUACAGGCUACAUACUAUACUGGCAGACUAUAUACUAUACUGGCAGACUACAGGCUACAUACUAUAUUGGCAGACUAUAUACUAUACUGGCAGACUACAGGCUACAUACUACACUGGCAGACUAUAUACUAUACUGGCAGACUACAGGCUACAUACUAUAUUGGCAGACUAUAUACUAUACUGGCAGACUACAGGCUACAUACUACACUGGCAGACUAUAUACUAUACUGGCAGACUACAGGCUACAUACUAUAUUGGCAGACUAUAUACUAUACUGGCAGACUGCAGGCUACAUACUAUAUUGGCAGACUAUAUACUAUACUGGCAGACUACAGGCUACAUACUCUGCUGGCAGACUACAGGCUACAUACUAUAUUGGCAGACUAUAUACUAUACUGGCAGACUACAAGCUACAUACUAUACUGGCAGACUACAGGUGACAUACAAUAUUGGCAGACUACAUACUAUACUGGCAGACUACAGGCUACAUACUAUACCUGCAGACUACAUACUAUACUGGCAGAAUACAGUUUACAUACUAUACCGGCAGACUACAGACUACAUACUAUACUGGCAGACUUUAAGCUACAUACUAUACUGGCAGACUACAAGCUACAUAUUAUACUGGCAGACUGCAUACUGUACUGGCAGACUACAUACUAUACUGUAAGACUACAAACUAUUCUGGCAGACUACAGGCUACAUACUUUACUGGCAGGCUACAGACUACAGACGAUACAGGAAACAACAGACCGCAGGCUACAUGCUAAAGACUACAGGCUACAUACUAUUUCCUGGUUAAAUAAAGGUGAAAUAAAAUAAAUAAAGACUACAUGCUCCAUACUAUACAGGAAGAUUACUGACUACAACAUGUAAUGUUAUAACAUAUUAUUAUUGAAAUAAA